GACGAACGCUGGCGGCGUGCUUAACACAUGCAAGUCGAACGGAAAGGCCCUGCUUUUGUGGGGUGCUCGAGUGGCGAACGGGUGAGUAACACGUGAGUAACCUGCCCUUGACUUUGGGAUAACUUCAGGAAACUGGGGCUAAUACCGGAUAGGAGCUCCUGCUGCAUGGUGGGGGUUGGAAAGUUUCGGCGGUUGGGGAUGGACUCGCGGCUUAUCAGCUUGUUGGUGGGGUAGUGGCUUACCAAGGCUUUGACGGGUAGCCGGCCUGAGAGGGUGACCGGCCACAUGGGGACUAAGAUACGGCCCAGACUCCUACGGGAGGCAGCAGUGGGAAGUAUUGCACAAUGGGCGGAAGCCUGAUGCAGCAACGCCGCGUGCGGGAUGACGGCCUUCGGGUUGUAAACCGCUUUCGCCUGUGACGAAGCGUGAGUGACGGUAAUGAGUAAAGAAGCACCGGCUAACUACGUG
Molecule: ribosomal RNA, 468 nt
Filed under: uncultured bacterium
Lineage: Bacteria
Description: partial 16S ribosomal RNA
Rfam family: Bacterial small subunit ribosomal RNA
Source: RNAcentral